Molecule: ribosomal RNA, 253 nt
Filed under: uncultured bacterium
Lineage: Bacteria
Description: partial 16S ribosomal RNA
Rfam family: Bacterial small subunit ribosomal RNA
Source: RNAcentral
UACGUAGGGUGCAAGCGUUGUCCGGAAUUAUUGGGCGUAAAGAGCUCGUAGGCGGUCUGUCGCGUCGGCUGUGAAAACUUGGGGCUCAACCCCAAGCCUGCAGUCGAUACGGGCAGACUAGAGUGCGGUAGGGGAGACUGGAAUUCCUGGUGUAGCGGUGAAAUGCGCAGAUAUCAGGAGGAACACCGGUGGCGAAGGCGGGUCUCUGGGCCGUAACUGACGCUGAGGAGCGAAAGCGUGGGUAGCAAACAGG